AUGCCUGAUCUCUCGAAAAGAAAAGGGGACGCUUCACCGCGAAAGCUUGACUGCCGUGGCUCCUUCAGUUUAAACAACAUUUACGAAACCGUUAUGAAAAUCUGGAAUCUGGAAGGCGGUCUGGAUGCGAUCUGCUUAGCCCUCGGCCCGGACUGUUCUCUCCCUUGCUGUUGCUUUCUGGUUCAAAAUAAAAUCAUUUCUGUGGUUCCGAGGCCCUCUGUCUCGCCUGUCUCUGUUGCCUUGUCAUCAUUUUGUGUCUUCUGCUGGUUUCUUGAACUCCUUUGCAACAUACGGUGUCUCCUUUCCCUGCCCGAAACUCUCCCGUCCGGCAUCCCGCUUCUCUGCGUGCAAAAUGCAGUUCCUUGACAAGCCUCAAAAUAAUGCCUAGGAAAUUUCAAAACCACAGUAAGAUCCGUACAGGAGUGGAGAUCCAGCACAAGAAGGCUUGAUGUCGAGUCUUAAGUCUAUCCCCACCCCCAUCCCAUGGCCCCGGGACUUGACCUUCUCCCGUUAGAGGUGCAAGCCCUUUCGAUGGAAGCCCGGGCUCUGCCGAGUGGUCGUGGGUCCCCGGCCUCAGUGCCACCUGCGAGCUGCUUAGAGAUGCCCGUUCUCCAGCCCUACGCCCUGACCUCCUCGGCAGCAUCUCCGGGAGUGGGAGCAGCAGUAAGUUCUAACAGGCCUUCCCGGCGAUUCUGAUGCUGGCCACAGUUUGUGAAGCAAAGCCCCGGAAGGCUUUACCCAGUCCCCUCUCCCGUGCGAAAAACGCGCUUACGACCUGAAGUGUGUUUUCGAGGUAAAGUGCUUCAGAGGCCGUAGGAUGUAAUGCGGUGAUUGGUUCUUAACCCGGCAGAGCACGAAACUUGCCUUUUCUUUUUUAGAAAUGCUGACUCCUGGAUCCCCUUUCUGAAACACUGGGGCUGAGAAGGUCUGGAGUGUGGCCCAGCACGCUGCCCUUUGGUUUCGAGUGAUUCGAAAGUGCUAGACACCUGGGGCGCGGCACCUUUUUCUUUUGCCUUUUUUUUUCAGUGUUUAUUUAUUUUGAGAGAGAGACAGAGCACGGGCAGGGGAGGGGCAGAGAGAGAGAGAGGGAGACACAGAAUCGGAAGCAGGUUCCGGGGUCUGAGCUGUCAGCGCAGAGCCUGACACGGGGCUCCAACUCACAAAAUGUGAAAACGGGACCUGAGCCGAAGUUGGAUGCUUAACGGACUGAGCCACCCAGGCGCCCCUCAACACGUUUUCUAUGAAAGUCAGAUAGUGAGUUUUUUUAGGGUUCGCAGGUCAUACCUAUGUCUGUGGCAACCUCUUAACUCUGCAGCUAUAGAGUGAAAGCAGCCAUAGAGGAUACGUAAAUGAAUGGGUGAGGCUGGGUUCCAAUAAAACUUUACAAAAACAGGCA
Molecule: long non-coding RNA, 1396 nt
Filed under: Felis catus (domestic cat)
Lineage: Eukaryota; Metazoa; Chordata; Mammalia; Carnivora; Felidae
Description: lncRNA (ENSFCAG00000048368.1)
Source: RNAcentral